AUACAACCGCAAAAGGUUCUUAUCCAUUUUGAAGGUGUUGUUUUCUUUGAGAAUAUCUUCAUUUGUGACUUUAACUUUUGUUGGAAAAUAGCCACAUCACUUCACAAUGAAUCUAUUAUCUUUCAUAGUGUCAAAUAGUAUUUCAUUUGUUGACGGGAAUUAAUUAAAGUCAUGUGUGAUGCCAUCUUUAAAAUCGGCGCGCGAUAAUUUAGCUUUAUAGCAGUUUUGUAUAGUUUACACACAAUUUUUUUUAAAUCAUCAAUGCUUUCAAAUGAUUUGUCAACCCACGAUAAUUUUAUAAAUUGUAUGGUAUAAAUGUUACAAUACUCGUCUCAUGAUACUUUAUACUUAACAUAUGUUAUACUCGCACACUGUGAUAAACACAAAUAAGAACCCACGUUAUAUAAUGCUUGACUCUCAAAAUUUCCAUACAGGUUCUUAUUAUAAUUUUUAAUUCAAUUGACAUUUCUAUCGUUUAACGGCCUAACUGGUAUUUUAAAAAGUUUUUGAAUUAUGUCGCUUUUGUACAUUUAAUAUGUGUUACAUUGUAGUGUUGUGUCGUUGUUCUCCUCUUAUAUUUGAUGCGUUUCCCUUGGUUUUAGUUUGUUGCCCCGAUUUUGUUUUUGGUCCAUGGAUUUAUCAGUUUGAACAGCGGUAUACUACUGUUGCCUUUAUUUGUCACCAUUCUAUAUGCAGUAGUAUAUUGUUCAUAGAAGAUGUUAAAGCUCGCUGUGAUAGAAUAUCCCGUGUUUAUUUGGAUGAACGUUUAUCAAAUACACAUUUGACAAGUGUAAUCCAAUGGAACAAAAUAUAUUUAAGUUACUAAGUAAUGCAUUGUAUCUUUUCGAUGUCAGACAGUAAUUUUGGCAGUUUUUACAGUUAAAUAUUGCAGUUUGAACCCUGUUAAAAAUACGUCAGAUAAAAAUUAUAAUUGUAUAAAAACUCACAAGCCUUGUGCACAUCAAAAGGGUGUUACAUUUUAUUUUUAAAUAUCUAUCAAGUGAUUUUGUUUGGUUCUUCUGAUAUUAAGUCAUAACUCGAGUUUUAUGAAAGCUUAAUAAGGUAGACAAGGGAGGGGUUGUCUUAAUUACAGACGCAUGAUUUUUUGGAUUUAAUAUAUGUGUUAUUGGUAGUUCUACAUAAUUGUAAAAAACAGUUAUUAUCGGUAUUACCAGAAGUCUAUGACUAAGGCUCUAGUAAAAGACUUUUGAUAGUAUCACGUCGAUGAUGCUAUGAGACAGACAGUUAUUUUUUGUUUGUCUGGCUUAAAAUAUCAUACGCAAUCAAAUGCUUCCAGGAGCAUAAAUCGAUCAUCGGCAAGGACGGAAUAUUCUAAACUAAAUAUAUUAAGAUUAAUGUGGCCAGUUUAUUACUUUUAAAAUAUGUGAUGUCUUUAGUAAAAGGUGUUCUGUGUAAAUCGAACGUAUUUUGUAAACCUUUUGACAAUACUGUUCGUAAUCGCUACAUUUGUUUAAAGGCAAAUGUAUUUGCUUUUUUCUGUUUGUCAUAUAUCGUUAUUUAUUAUUUUAUUUGUUUUGCAAUUAGAUGACAAGUACAGUUCAGUAAACAAUUAUAAAAUUAGUACAUGUGUAUGUAGAUUUUACGUUAUUUUAUUCAUGUUUUAUGUUUUCCUAAGAGUUUAUGGGGCAUUAGCUACAAAUCAGACAAAAAAUUGUUAAAAAAAUGUGUAUAAAGGCUGAAUAUACAAUACUAUUUCGACAUUAGCUGCCAGUUUGGUUCAAUUUUGUCAAAAUAAACCAAACCACGUCGUUGAUGUAUUGUUGACUUGCAAGUCAAUGAUUCAACUCAGUUAAAUCUGUAUUUCUUGCAACCUUUGAUCUAACCUUUAGUAGAGAUGAGUUGCGAAUAUGUUUCGCAUGUGGUUCAUUCAUUGUAGAGGAAAUACAGUCAACAUUGAAAUGUGAAACAAUGGAGCAAUAAGGAAUAACCAUUUUCUUACUAAUCCGUAGCACAACAAAUUGUUCUCAUAUAUAGGUAAAACGAUGACAUACAUAUCAUUUUUAAUGUAUAACAUAAAAUCAAACAUUAAUGUCUGGUAAAAUAGUUAUUAUACGAUUGCACAAUCUUGCUAUUCUUUUAUUUUUGAAUUUGUUUAUCUGAUUAUCGGCAGUCUUCGGAUUUCAUCUGGCAUCUAGAUAAAAAUACGCACGAAAUGCCAAUACAAUAUUACGAGAAAAUAGAAUCGAUAAUGGAAACGGGGAAUACAUUGAUUAUUGUUUCUUUUGUAAUUUGAAAAUAUGAUAUAAAUCAAAUUUGAGAAUGAAUUUGACAGCUAUUGCCCAUUUAAGUCAUAUAUACUUUUAAUCACAAAAUUAUUUAUGCAAUAUUAACAAGCGUAAAAGUUCAAUUAAAAUAAAUAAAAAUCAAACUUAAUAUUACAUGAUUUGCUAGUUGAUUGGAUAAAACUGUUCAUCUUUU
This 2439-nucleotide long non-coding RNA is filed under the name Mytilus galloprovincialis (Mediterranean mussel). Lineage: Eukaryota; Metazoa; Mollusca; Bivalvia; Mytilida; Mytilidae. The record is from RNAcentral.